RNAcentral lists this ribosomal RNA (225 nucleotides) under uncultured bacterium. RNAcentral's name for it is "partial 16S ribosomal RNA". It matches the Rfam family "Bacterial small subunit ribosomal RNA", at positions 568 to 774 of the family's 1533-position model. The record is from RNAcentral.
CUCGUAGGCGGCUUGUCGCGUCGGCUGUGAAAUCCCGUGGCUCAACUGUGGGCGGGCAGCUGAUACGGGCAGGCUGGAGUUCGGUAGGGGAGACUGGAAUUCCUGGUGUAGCGGUGAAAUGCGCAGAUAUCAGGAGGAACACCGGUGGCGAAGGCGGCCCGCUGGGCAGGAAGGAAGCGUAAGCUUCCGGCUGACGCUGAGGCGCGACAGCGUGGGGAGCAAACA